This 532-nucleotide long non-coding RNA is filed under the name Gossypium barbadense (sea-island cotton). RNAcentral describes it as "long non-coding RNA (GBAR_LNC009846)". Lineage: Eukaryota; Viridiplantae; Streptophyta; Magnoliopsida; Malvales; Malvaceae. The record is from RNAcentral.
AGAAGAUGAAGAACGAGAUGGCCAUGACAGUAAAUAGCUCCACUGAGGAGAUGAAAAGAGAGACAACUACAAUAAAGAGCUCAGCGGAGAAGAUGAACAAAGAGACAGCCUUGAAAAUAAAUAACUCAGCUGAGAAGAUGAAGAAAGAAACAUCAUUAAAUAGCUCAGCUGAGAAGAUGAGACAAGAGACAGCUACAGAAAAUGGUUCAGCUGAAAAGAUGAAGAAAGAGACAGCCUUGACAGUAAAUAUCUCAGCUGAAAAGAUGAACAAAGAGACAGCCUUGACAAUAAAUAACUCAGCUGAGAAGAUGAAGAAAGAGAUGGCCAGGACAGUGAAUAGCUCAGCUGAGAAGAUGAGACAAGAGACAGCUACAGUUAAUGGCUCGGCUGAGAAGAUGAAGAAAGAGACGGCCUUGACAGUAAAGAGCUCGAACGAGAAGGUGAAGAAAGAAACAGCCUUGACAGUAAAUAACUCAGCUGAGAAGGUUAAGAAAGAGAUCGCUUCACAAGUGAAUGGCUCAGCUGAGAAGAU